RNAcentral lists this long non-coding RNA (3378 nucleotides) under Medicago truncatula (barrel medic). Its description in RNAcentral is "long non-coding RNA (MTRU_LNC001393)". Lineage: Eukaryota; Viridiplantae; Streptophyta; Magnoliopsida; Fabales; Fabaceae. The record is from RNAcentral.
GUUUCUACAAACACCCUAAAAUUUCUCUCCAAUCCCAAAAUUCGAAAACCACACAUUGACCGAAUCUUGGAGGAUUUUUGUCAAAUUCAUAGCAUUUCAAGCUUCAUCAAACAUAAAACUAAAGAUUAGGUUUGAUUUCCUCUGCAUGUCAUUAUCUGGGUUCGAUUUUUUUUUUUUUUCAUGUAGCACUGAAGCUUUUCAAAUUAUAAAAUCCUAACGGGAUUGUUCCUGUUCAGAUUUUAUAAUCCGAAAUGUACCAUUGAAUUAUUUUUUUUGCAGUUUCGUGAAUUUCUGUUAUUUGUGUGUAUUCUAGAUUAUGCAUGUUACCAGUAUGGAACAUAUCAGGGGUCAAACCUAGCACUUAUAAGAGCAUCCACAACGAAGACAUAUAUUUUUGGAUGAGUCUCAUAUACACAUCACUUAUUUAGAAGCAAUAUCUAAUAAGCACUCAAUCUCAUCCAACCUAACACCUCACACAAAUUUCUUAAACGGGACACGUAAAUCAUCCAUCAAUAAUUCUUUUACAUUGUAUUUUAAUAUUAAAUAAACAUGAGUCCAACUUAAUAUUGUAGACUUCAUGUAAACCUUGUGUUAAUUAAAUACCAAAAAAAUUCCCUCAAUGAAGAUACCUCAUAGUUACCAAGUGUUAAAAUGAGAGAUCCUCCACUAAAAUUGGGCUAAGUGAACCAUUUAAGAUCAGCUCAUUAAAUACUCUAUCAAACAUGUUUGUUUAAUCAAACAAACAAGCUCAAACUUGAGAUAGUAAAUACCAAUAAAAAAAAGUUUGCUCUUUUGGAUGCAAAAGAUUAAAAAGAACAAAAAUGAGUGAUUGAUUGCAAAAAAAAAUUACCCCCUCUUACUUAUUGUCAAUGACAAAAUUGUCCUUUUAUUAUUAUUAUUAUUAUUAUUAUUAUUAUUAUUAUUAUAUUCCAUUCGUCUCACAAUAAUUAUCUCUUUACUAUUUUUUCUUUUUCUCAAAAUAAUUGUCACUUUAGAAUACCAAUGAAGCAUUUAUUAUUUUUUCAUUAUUAUACCUUUAUUUAUUGAAUUUCAUCUAACUUAACUACCCCACUAACUAAAAUUAAUAAGGGUGUUUUAAUAAAUAAUACUAACUUUACCAUCAAAAUCAACACAAUUAAUCAUUUCCUUAAUAAUCGUGCAUAAACCUUAAACGACUAUUAUUUAAAGAUGGAUGGAGUAUUAUUAUCAUUAUUAUUAUAGUUCUAAUUGUCUCUUUUGAAAUUGUUCUGGACCAAGCAAACAUGUAAGACCCAUUUUCAUAGGUUCAAACCAAAACAACCCAAGUCUCGCUUUUGAUCCAUUACUCGCGACACAGCCCUCCUCGCGAGGGAGGUGCUCGAACACUACGUGAGACCAGUUCAAACAUCUGAUAACAUCUCCUAAAAGGUGUCCCACGAAUCUCGCUCGAUGGCUACAAUUCCCACGAAUCUGUAAGAGUCGAACUCCACAUGUGCUCUAACAACAACACCUCCACAUUGUGAAUAGGGGACUCAAAACAAUUCUCAAAGGUACAGUAUUUUUCCACCCUUAACCUUUCUUUUUGACUCAAUACUGACUUAAGCGUUAGAGUGUCUGCGUGUACACACAUUACCGUUUUAAUCAACACAAUCAUUUAUUUAAUAUUAAAAUGGAAGCUUUUAAAAAAAAUCGUUAAAAAAAAAAAAGAAUAAAUCGAGCUUGAUUUGUCCAUGCUUUUCACAAGUCUAGUGUUGCAUUUGUAUAAAUUUAUUUAUUUAUUUCUCCUAUAUAUGGAGAAAAAGUUAUCCAAAAAGAAAUGUUUACGACAAAAAUGGGAAGCAAGAGUGAGUUGGAAGGAAAUGGGAGAACAAAUUAUGGACCUCACUUCACUAGUUGUUUAAUGAAACGAAAGGACUAUAUAUCUCAUCUCAUGGCUCAAUUUAUCGUGAUUUAUCGGAUCCAGUGAACGGUGAUAUCGUUUGUCAUGUGGUGUCCGAACGAACCGAACAAAAGCAUUUGACUCCAUUUGCUCGUGUACUUCUCAUAUCCUUGUAAAUUUAAUCUUCUAUUAUUAUAGUAUUUGUGAACCACAUGGUUCAAAUCUCUAAACCUUGAUUUGAAGCUCUCUAAAAAUUCGUCGAAACAAUAAUAAUUUAUAUUAAUGGUAGUGUAAAACAAUAAUAAUUUAAAAGAUCAAGACAUCUAAUCUUUGGGGCUUAGCCCGUUUUAUUUAAAAAAAUAAUAUAAUAUGAUCUCUUCGUCCUUAGUAUACAUCACAGUUUUGCGAUGUAUAUUAUUUACGUAGUUUACUUUAACAAUAUUUUUUAAUUAAUAUAUAAAUAUAAAUGUUAACGUAUAAGAUUGUUGUUCGAUGUACUAUAUCUUAUCUUAAUAAGUAUUUUCAAGAUAUCAAAUUUUUAUAGUAAACAAUUAAAGAUGUUAAUGGUCAAAUUAAAUAUCAAAGUUGUGUAUUCUGGUGGACCUAUUUUAGAUUUUGAUAAAAGAUAAAGUUAAAUUAAUUUCGAAAAGGUACCCUACAUGACAGAAGAGCUAAUGAAUGAAGUUGAAAGUUUCAGAGAGAAACAGCAUGGGCCCCACAGGCCCAAGUUGCAUGACCCAGCUUUGUACAAACAUCAACUUCAAUCAUCAAUAGGUCGUGACCUUGUGUGAGUGCUAAACGUUUCCCUUUGUAGCCAGCCUCUAUCCUUUUUUCAUUUUCAUUAGAAUAUUGCUAUUUUCUUCACCUUUUCAUUUAGACAGAAGCAAUUGUUAGAGUGCAAUAAUACUUCAUAUUAUUUAGAAUCUAACUUUAAAAAAGUGUUAUUUAAUUUGAUACAAGUUUUACACAAUUUUUUUUUUUUUUUUUAUGAAAGGAAGUUUUACACUAUUUAUAUAUACGAAAACUAAUUAUCUCAUAUAUUAAUAUACUUAAACAUUAUUUUUGUUUGGAUAGCCUUUUUUCAACUUAUUUAUCAACUUUUCAACUUUAAUUGCAGCCGCGUGUUAUUUUCAAGGAUGGUCCACUGCUUUUGUUUUAUUGACAGAAUAUAAUAUAAAUAUAUAGUCUUAUAUGAGAAAAUUUUGUUGACAAGCAAUAAGGUGGGUGGGUUGGGACACCAUAUUUUAGAUUAAUGUCGCUCCAUUUGUUAGUAGAGUUGAAAGAAGAACAAAAGUUGAGAAGUCUCAACAAAUAUUUGACCAUAGCAAACGAGAAUCUUUAGUUUCAAAAAUUUUGCUUCACUUCACAUUGUUCUUUUGAUCUCUUUAAAUAUACUACUUAAUAUACUCCUCAAUAAUCAAUAUAUGUAAGAGAAUAUUAGUAGAUAUAAUUGUAUAUAUCAGCAACACAAAACUAUUUUACACAUGCAUUUAGUUAUCUAUAAUAAAGUACACAACAAC